ACACACCAAGGAAUUAUAAUCUUAGAAACUCAGACUUUCUUAUACCGAGAUUUAAGUCUGUAAAAUUUGGAAAACACUCAUUAAGGUAUUAUGGACCUUACCUUUGGUCAAAAUUAAAAUCCGAAGACAGAAAUCAGACUUCGCUAUCUGCUUUUAAGCGUAGUAUCAGAAAAACAGACCUCAGUUGUAUUGCAUGAUAAACUCCAUAAUAAUAGUCUUAGUACUAAGCUGUAGUAAAAUAAUUAGUGUAUUAUAUAUGUAAUCAUAGCAGAAAUUUUAGUAAUAUACAAUAGGUGUAAAUUCAGUUGUUUAAGCUUAGUGUCCCCAAUUAGUAGGUUAUCUGUAACCGGCUAGAUGUAAAUGACACUUUAAUAAAGUUCCUAACUAACUAACUAA
Molecule: non-coding RNA, 396 nt
Organism: Paramuricea clavata
Lineage: Eukaryota; Metazoa; Cnidaria; Anthozoa; Malacalcyonacea; Plexauridae
Source: the annotation of a GenBank genome assembly